UCUUGUUGAGAAGAUGGAAAUGGCACUGUGACACAGUCUCCAGAUCCCCAUUGGCAUAACAAUCAACCUCCUGCGGCACUGGCACAAGAAACAUGGAUGAGCACCAACAAGGGAGUCUACAUUGGAAUCUCUGUUACUGUUUUGGCAUUGUUGCUCAUGUUUGUGGUUUUCUGGAUUAGGAGAAGAUAUUUUUGCCUGGGUAGCAAGGUGGAGCUACUACGUGUGAUUCCAUUGAAAGAGUCUGUCAUUGGAGAUUUGAAAAAUGCAGCUCUGAAGCCUAUCCAAGCAGAAAACGAUAUCUAAAUUAUUGAAGACUAAGUCCUGGAUCCAGAUUCUAAGGUGUUAUGCCCUUGACUGUAGAAGACAGUGACCAGAUACCGUGUCAGAGUCCUUUCAGUCAGCUGCACAAUU
Non-coding RNA from Odocoileus virginianus texanus, 411 nucleotides. The record is from RefSeq and is a predicted model, not a curated record. Lineage: Eukaryota; Metazoa; Chordata; Mammalia; Artiodactyla; Cervidae.